Molecule: long non-coding RNA, 1835 nt
Organism: Lactuca sativa (garden lettuce)
Lineage: Eukaryota; Viridiplantae; Streptophyta; Magnoliopsida; Asterales; Asteraceae
Source: RefSeq, a predicted model, not a curated record
UCCGCAACAUAUUUCUUCAAAAUGAUACUCUGAUUUUUAAAUAAAACAUAAAUAAAUCGGUGUUUUCUGGCCGUAAAAUUGGAGAUGUCACAUCAUAAUAUACUACAACUGCAUAUAUGUUUUUUGAUCUAGUUAUUUCCAACCAAUAGAUGACAAAAUAUCAAUUUUAUGAAAAUCGACGACUUACAAAACCAAAACCACAUGUGUGGAGUUGUGUGAAUGGAGUGGGGGUGGGGUGGAGUCGAGGUUAGGUAAGGUAGGUUAAGGGUGGAGUGAUGUGUGAUAUGUGUUUAUUUAUUAUUAUUUUUUUAGUAAAAUUAUAUAAAAGAAAAGUGAAAUUGAAAUUGAAAAUGGUAUAAUAGUAAUUUCAGAUCAAAUAUGUAAGAAAAUGAUACCAUGAGGAUCAACAAUGCAAUAUUUAGGCUCACGGGAGUGGCUUGCCACCCCCUUCGCUGCCACUCCCUACCCAUGUUAUGCACCUACACUAAGAUUGGCUCGCUAGUUGUUUGACGAGAGGAAAGUGAAGACGAGAGUAAGACAUGUGGUCCCCAUUUGACUAUUUCAGCUUGAAAUGCUUGUAACUCCAGCUUUAGCAACUUGUAUCAUUUUUAUAGUUUAUAUUAUUUAAAUAGUUAAAUAAAAUUUUAUUUGAUUUAAGAAAAAAAUGUUUACCUUAAACACAUCACCACUCCAUAUCAUCAUAUUAUGCUUAAGUGUUCAUAAAAAUAUGACGUGCCAAUGGUUUUAGCAUAUAUUACCACAUGCUAUCACUCCUUUCAGCCUUAGGCUGCACGUUAUGGGCAACCUUAAAAAACGUCGUUGAAAGGCCACAUAUGCAAAAACCCUGCACCACGUUUUUUCAAGGCUGGUGUUCUAAACUCACAACGCCGUUGUGAGACUAAUUUUAAAGAAGAAAAACAGAGGAAUGGAAGAAGAAACUCCCAUUGCCCUUCGUUACGAUCACAACGCCAAGCCACGUAACACAUAAAACGGGAGGCUAGGGUGGUGUUUGGGCCGUGGUAAAGGUGUUUUCCGGCGUCAGGUCACAAAAACGUUAAUGCGCGUUGCCCACACCGAGUCGUCUUUAGAAACCACAUGAUCAUGUUCAUCAAUUUAUUUGCAGGGACUAAGUUUGUGACAUUUGAUAAACUACAUGGACCAUUUAUGUAAUUUUGUCUUAAUUAUUUAAGACCUCUUAAACCCUCUCGCAGUUUUCUACUUCCGAGUUCAGAUCCUAAUUUUGUGAAAGCAGCAUCAGUUAAUAUAUUUAUAUCCUGUUGAUCCUUUCCUUCUGCUCCAGUAGCAGAUCAAACUUCCAAGUUUGUUUCCCCAUGAUCUGCGAUGCCUAUUUGCGUUUUGAGGUUUAUUAGAUAGAGAUAUACCACUUAUAGAUCUCUACUGUAGGUGCCAAACAAGAUCGAGACAUAACCUGAACUUGAAUCGUUAGUUACGAGAUCGAUGCAAUCCGCUACAUGUUCUCUUAUGUCGCGAUCAAUCGGUUUGAAUUGUUUUUAAGACCUAAAUUAACGUCUUACAAGUUACAAUCCAUUUUCUGUUUCGUGAUCUUCAAACCCCCUUGAGUUUGAAAUCGAUUUUGUUUUCAUCUGUAUUUAGUUUCUAGGUCGAACGUGUAAGUUUCUUUGCAUCUUCUAUGUAGAGAUUUUGUUACUACUAAUGGUCGCAUAGCGAAGUGGAUAUCGCGUUAGAUUCCGAAUCUAAAGGUCGUGGGUUCGAAUCCCACUGUGAUCAGAACUUUUCUUUUUUGAUUUGAUUGUUUUGUUCAUAUUCCUAUUUUGUUUGCUUUUAAAUCAAAGUUUUCUUCCAAUUUCUUGUAA